CCCUACUGGUGAUAAACAGGUGGGGCAAAAGUAGGCUUACAGCUGUUCCUAUGGGAAAUAAUACAAUAAUUAAUAAAUAAUGCAAGAAUAAACUGUUUUGCAUAUUUACAACUAUAAACCUACUUUUGCCCCACCCUAUAUG
This is a long non-coding RNA of Pipistrellus kuhlii (Kuhl's pipistrelle), 142 nucleotides long. RefSeq lists it as uncharacterized. Lineage: Eukaryota; Metazoa; Chordata; Mammalia; Chiroptera; Vespertilionidae. The record is from RefSeq and is a predicted model, not a curated record. The transcript is spliced from 4 exons.